RNAcentral lists this ribosomal RNA (479 nucleotides) under uncultured bacterium. RNAcentral describes it as "partial 16S ribosomal RNA". It matches the Rfam family "Bacterial small subunit ribosomal RNA", at positions 28 to 523 of the family's 1533-position model. The record is from RNAcentral.
GACGAACGCUGGCGGCGUGCUUAACACAUGCAAGUCGAACGGUAAGGCCCUUCGGGGUACACGAGUGGCGAACGGGUGAGUAACACGUGGGUGAUCUGCCCUGCACUUCGGGAUAAGCCUGGGUAACUGGGUCUAAUACCGGAUAGGACCACUGCCUGCAUGGGUGGUGGUGGAAAGCUUUUGCGGUGUGGGGAUGGGCCCGCGGCCUAUCAGCUUGUUGGUGGGGUGAUGGCCUACCAAGGCGACGACGGGUAGCCGGCCUGAGAGGGUGACCGGCCACACUGGGACUGGGCUACGGCCCAGACUCCUACGGGAGGCAGCAGUGGGGAAUAUUGCACAAUGGGCGCAAGCCUGAUGCAGCGACGCCGCGUGAGGGAUGACGGCCUUCGGGUUGUAAACCUCUUUCAGCACCGACGAAGCGCAAGUGACGAUAGGUGCAGAAGAAGGACCGGCCAACUACGUGCCAGCCGCCGCAGUAA